Molecule: non-coding RNA, 23 nt
Filed under: Arabidopsis thaliana (thale cress)
Lineage: Eukaryota; Viridiplantae; Streptophyta; Magnoliopsida; Brassicales; Brassicaceae
Source: RNAcentral
AAUAUGUGUGCUUUAACCAUACA